UACGUAGGGGGCGAGCGUUGUCCGGAUUUAUUGGGCGUAAAGAGCUCGUAGGCGGCUUAGCAAGUCGGGUGUGAAAACUCCAGGCUCAACCUGGAGACGCCACUCGAGACUGCUAUGGCUAGAGUCCGGUAGGGGACCACGGAAUUCCUGGUGUAGCGGUGAAAUGCGCAGAUAUCAAGGAGGACACCGGUGGCGAAGGCAGCCCCCUGGGUCAAGAUUGACGCUCAUGCACGAAAGCGUGGGGAGCAAACAGG
RNAcentral lists this ribosomal RNA (254 nucleotides) under uncultured bacterium. Its description in RNAcentral is "partial 16S ribosomal RNA". It matches the Rfam family "Bacterial small subunit ribosomal RNA", at positions 524 to 776 of the family's 1533-position model. The record is from RNAcentral.